RNAcentral lists this non-coding RNA (28 nucleotides) under Mus musculus (house mouse). The record is from RNAcentral. Lineage: Eukaryota; Metazoa; Chordata; Mammalia; Rodentia; Muridae.
UGNGUUGGUGUGCCUGAGGCUGGCUGCU